AUUGGAAGGAAAAUUCUGUACAUAUAAAUUCCCUUAUUUAUUUGACUCAAUUUGUAGAUAAAUGUAUAGAAAUAGAUUAAGUUGGAAAUUUGAGGUAUUAACCAUUUGUCUCUUCAAUGUGUUUUAAGUAGUGUAUGAGGAAACACUGAGACAAAUGGAAGGGAAAAUAAGUGGUUUAAGAGUGAUGGGAACUAUCCUAAACCCUACAAAUUCAAGGUUUCUCGGUGAAGCUAGAAUGAAGUUCAAGGCUGAGACCUGCAGCCAAGCAGAUAUCGCCCGUUAUUUACUACCUAGGCUUCAAUAGCACUUGAUAAUAGGGUUUGGUCUUGCCAACUUUGACAUUUAUUUGGAUCCGCCUGGGAGAUCAGGAGCCCAUCACAGGCACCCCCCACCUGCCCCAGGAGCUUCGGCAGGAGAAUUGCGUGAACUGGGAGGCCGAGGUUGCAGUGAGCCGAGAUCACACCAUUGCACUCCAGCCUGGGCAACAAGAGCGAAACUUCGUCUCAAAAAAAAAAAAGAAAAAGAAAAAGAAAAGAAAACAGAAAACAGCAGCCUUGGACAAGCACAAUGGGCAGACUAGAAUUGCAGUGCACAGAUACAAGAAUGUUGCCUGCUUUGGAGCCAAGAUUGCCUUCCGGAUAAAGGGCCCACAGAGAGCUGAGAGCUGUGUAAUACCUCAAAGACUGAAGAAAAGAGUUAGACAGCCAUCUUUCCUUAGAGGAUUUUGCUGCAGAUAGCUUGAACUACCAGAAGGUUAUAUACUGACCAUGGGUAGAGAAAGGAAGAAAUACAUCCUUCGGAAAGGACAAUGAAGAUCUUUACAGCAGGGUGAGUAAACAGGCCAGUGUAAGUAGCUAAGCAAGAAGGCCACUUGCUAGGUGGUAUACAGUUGCUCAGUAUAUCACACACACACACACACACACACAAAUAUUAGUUACACCUCUGAGAUGGGAUUCAUAAACAUUUAAAAGUUUACACCAUGUUUAGAUAACACUGACCAUCAAACCCUUAAUAAUUUGUUUUGCUUUGCAGUCCCACAGGUCUAUGCCCAUCUAUUCAUUUUAGCAUCUGUUUUAUGUUUCAUAAUUACCUUUUAAAAUUUCUGUCUCCCCUUUGUGCUAUGAGGUCAUUUCAGCACUUAGGUGAGAAUCUGAAAUUGUAAAGAUAGUUCAAUUACAUUUUCGUUAUUAAUAUAGGCGGGGUAAAGUAAAAGUGCUGUAUUAGCUCAGAGGAGCAAAAAACAAUAUAAUCAAAUAGAUCUGUAGAUACCAGAAUUUUAAAAUUCUUCCUUCAGGAACUUUAAUGCCAUUUAAAAAUAUUUAUUGUGGAAUAUGUUAGACUUUGAGUCAUAGUGAUUUUUACCUCCUAACAUAAAGCUAAUUUUUACUGGAUUUCUUCUGAUAAUGAUGGUUAAGUGUGCAAGAGAUGGUAUCAGUCUAUUCAGCGUAUUAUUGAGAAUCCCCUCACUCUCCUUAAAUGAAUGGCUUAAGCAGCAGAUGUUCUAUACCCUAAAAGAUGCCAUGGCACGUCUCAGGUAAGAGCUGUCCUUGGAGUUGAAUGUUAUUUAUUACUAUGUAGGUACUAGAGAUUCAGAAACUUAAUGAUUUUUUUUCCUAACAGAAACUCCUUUUUCGCACUAUGAAUAAUUUACUGUUCUUUCUUCUUUGAACUCAACUGUAGAAUUGCGCAUAGACUAAUUUUUACUUUCGCUCCUUUCCCAGGUGAAAUUAAACAAAAAAUAUAGAAACUGAUCACUGAACUAAUGACUUUAGAUGAGUAUACUUUUAUGUAAAUUUUAAAAGAUUUGGUAAUUAAGAAUGAAUUUCAUUUCAACUUCAUUGUUCAUUUCCUCUUAAUUGUUACAACAAUUUAAUUCUAAACAUGAUAAAAUCACACCUUCCUGUUGCUACACCUGCAAGCUUUUUAAAGUUUGUUCAGAGUUUAGAUAGAUUAGGAAAUAAAGUGGAAAAUAACCAGGCAAAUAUUAUGUUUUAUUAAAAAAUUACAUUUCUGGCUGUGAAAUACUGAACUUAUUUAUACAUGAAAGAAGUUAUAUCAAUAUCAAAUUGAUAUAUUCAAAUGUCUGAUCCUGUCUUAAACAGGAAAACUACUUUGAAAGCAGCAAUAUUACCAACAAUGAAGGGAAAAAAUGUGUAGAAUCAUAU
RNAcentral lists this long non-coding RNA (2165 nucleotides) under Pan troglodytes (chimpanzee). RNAcentral describes it as "lncRNA (ENSPTRG00000053561.1)". Lineage: Eukaryota; Metazoa; Chordata; Mammalia; Primates; Hominidae. The record is from RNAcentral.